GACGAACCGUGCGAACGUUGUUCGGAAUCACUGGGCUUAAAGGGCGCGUAGGCGGGCGGUCAAGUCAAAGGUGAAAGCCCACGGCUCAACCGUGGAAGUGCCUCUGAUACUGGCUGUCUGGAGGGAGGUAGGGGCGUGCGGAACUUCCGGUGGAGCGGUGAAAUGCGUAGAUAUCGGAAGGAACACCGGUGGCGAAAGCGGCGCGCUGGACCUCUACUGACGCUGAGGCGCGAAAGCCAGGGGAGCAAAGCGGG
Molecule: ribosomal RNA, 254 nt
Filed under: uncultured bacterium
Lineage: Bacteria
Description: partial 16S ribosomal RNA
Rfam family: Bacterial small subunit ribosomal RNA
Source: RNAcentral